UACGUAGGGGGCAAGCGUUGUCCGGAAUUAUUGGGCGUAAAGGGCACGCAGGCGGUCUUCUAAGUCUGAUGUGAAAUCCCACGGCUUAACCGUGGUAGGUCAUUGGAAACUGGAGGACUUGAGUACAGAAGAGGAGAGUGGAAUUCCACGUGGAGCGGUGAAAUGCGUAGAGAUGUGGAGGAACACCAGUGGCGAAGGCGACUCUCUGGUCUGUAACUGACGCUGAGGUGCGAAAGCGUGGGUAGCGAACAGG
RNAcentral lists this ribosomal RNA (253 nucleotides) under uncultured bacterium. RNAcentral's name for it is "partial 16S ribosomal RNA". It matches the Rfam family "Bacterial small subunit ribosomal RNA", at positions 524 to 776 of the family's 1533-position model. The record is from RNAcentral.